GAUGAACGCUAGCGGCAGGCCUAAUACAUGCAAGUCGAACGAUACCAAUGGGCUUGCUCAUUGGGAAAGUGGCGCACGGGUGCGUAACGCGUAUGCAACCUACCUUAAUCAGGGGGAUAGCCCGAAGAAAUUCGGAUUAACACCGCAUAAAAACACAGUACAGCAUUGUACAAUGUUCAAAUAUUUAUAGGAUUAAGAUG
Molecule: ribosomal RNA, 200 nt
Filed under: uncultured bacterium
Lineage: Bacteria
Description: partial 16S ribosomal RNA
Rfam family: Bacterial small subunit ribosomal RNA
Source: RNAcentral